GCUAUCCCGCAGCCGCACACGGUGACAGGAUUCGCAGGCAGGAACGCGACCCACUGCACCGGGGGCCGUCGGCCCGACCGCAGGGCGAGGUCGGCGUGCAGUCGGAAGACUCGGAAUUGGGCACGCGGCGGUGGUGCUGACUCAGCACGACCUCCCUGCGGUCGCCGGGCAGCCGCAGCAGCCACCAGCAACCGCCGCAGGGCAACCGGCCUCCCCCGCCCCCGGCCCCACCCGGCCGCACCCGAGGGCGCGCGGCGUCACAGAGCGCAUGCGUGCCGCGGGGGAUGCCGGGAGCGCGCAGUGGCGGCAGCGGCGGCGACGGCAGUAAUAUCGGCGGCAACAGCGGGGACGCGAGCGGGGCGGUGACCGUGUGGGAGGUGGUCUCACUCUUGGGGAAGCUGCUGGGCACCGUCGCCGCGCUGAAGGUGGUUCUGUACCUGCUCCGGGUGUGCUUAGCGAUGGCCUGGAAAUCCGGCGGCGCCAGCCACUCGGAGCUAAUCCACAAUCUCCGCAAAAAUGGAAUCAUCAAGACAGAUAAAGUAUUUGAAGUAAUGCUGGCUACAGACCGCUCGCACUAUGCAAAAUGUAACCCAUAUAUGGAUUCCCCACAAUCAAUAGGUUUCCAAGCAACAAUCAGUGCUCCACACAUGCAUGCAUAUGCAUUAGAACUUUUAUUUGAACAAUUACAUGAAGGAGCUAAAGCUCUUGACGUAGGAUCUGGAAGUGGAAUCCUUACUGCAUGUUUUGCACGUAUGGUUGGAUGUACUGGAAAAGUCAUAGGAAUUGAUCACAUUAAAGAACUAGUAGAUGACUCAAUAAAUAAUGUCAGAAAGGAUGAUCCAACACUUUUGUCUUCAGGGAGAGUGCAACUGGUUGUGGGGGAUGGAAGAAUGGGAUAUGCUGCAGAAGCCCCUUACGAUGCAAUUCAUGUCGGAGCUGCAGCCCCAGUUGUGCCACAGGCACUAAUAGACCAGUUAAAGCCUGGUGGAAGAUUGAUAUUGCCAGUUGGUCCUGCAGGUGGAAAUCAAAUGUUGGAGCAGUAUGACAAGCUACCAGAUGGCAGCGUCAAAAUGAAACCUCUGAUGGGGGUGAUAUAUGUGCCUUUAACAGAUAAAGAGAAGCAGUGGUCCAGUUGCUGGCACAGUGCUCCCCCUGGCUGAGCGAAUGGCUUCUUUUGGAGCUGAUAAAGCUGCCUUAUGAAGUCAGCUGACAGGGAUGAACUGUAAAAGCAACAUCAGCUUGACCAGUCUAUAAUACUGCAGUGGAUUGCUCAUCUCAGUCCUUACAGCUUUUUGAAAACCAAUAGCAUCACAGCUUGUUUUGGACUUUGUUACACUGUUAUUUUCAGCAUGAAAUUUGUGGUUUUGUAGGGUUUUCUAAUUCUUCAAAGAGGCACAGAGCCAAAUGGUAGAGGAAGGAUACAAAGUAUAAAUCUGUGUGUUAUACUUUAACAUGCCCACAUUUUACUUUAAAAUAUUAAAAGAAGGGUUUCUGCAAAAUGAAAAAGUUAGUUUGUGAAUUGAUUUUGAGGAGUGAAUUUUCUUUUCUUGGACACUUAAUUCUGUUCUGAUAUUAAUUUAUGAGAUUUCUUUUGUGCAUCAGAUAACACCACCAUUCACAAGUUAAGAUUCUUGGUAUUUGGAUGUCUGUUAGAGACUACUAAGAAAAUAGAGAUGAGCUUUCUUUUUAAAGCUUUCGAUGUGGUAUCAUAGAAUAGCAUGUUGUAGAUACAAUCAGCUGCUUUGUUACCUUAAAACUAGGCAUUUGUAAAUACUGAAACUUAAGAAGAUGGCAGGUAAUGUCCUAUAAACACUCAGUUGUUUAGAUUGGACAUAACUGACAUAGUUCUUUCUCUCUCUCUCUCUCUCUCUCUCUCUCUCUCUCUCUCUCAAACUUGAUAGGAGGCUUGUAGCUUAGUAUUGUUUUUCUGUUUCUAGUUGGCUGCUGAUAAUGUAUAUGAAUCUAACAUGCUGUGUUAGCUGUGUGCUGGUUUCUGCACAGCUUAUGCAGUGCUGCUUUGCCAAAUAAAGUUAAAAGCAAAAGAGGUAUUGGUGGUGUUUGAAUCUAGAAGGGAGAACAUGAGGUACACAAGAUACAGAAUGCUAACUGAGACCACAAAGGUAAAUUGCUUCUCUAAUCCUGUUUUGUGAAAUCUGAGUAGGUAAAUAGUAUUAAUUCAUUUGUACAUUGUGUCUAUGGCUACAUUUCUGUAGGUCAGGAACAUUCACCAUUUCUCUCUGCUGGUCUAACACAGGGCUCAUCUUAUAGUAGUUAGAAAAUAAAUGCCAAGUGGGUGAGUGGGUGAAUGAAUUGACUUAAUGUCAAGGAAAGAAUGCAGUUGAGGAUAAGCAUACCAAACCCACCUCUCAUCUAUAAAUAGAUUUAUUAAUACAGUGCCUAUAAAAUGUGUUUCUAAGAAAGUGGAGGCACUUUGGGGUCUUGUUUAAAUGUUGUGAUUUUAUACUUUUUAUAAAGUUUAGUUUUCUUAGGGUUCUAGAAUUUGAGAAAUUACUACAAGCUCUAGAAUGAGCAGAACCAGAAUGUCCAGCAGAGCCCUCCUACUGUGUGCAAGUGUGCAGAAUUCUGCUAAGGAAAUCCUGUGUGAGCAUGUGACUCAGCCUUCCCUACUCUUAAAAUGUUUAUUACUUCUUUAAAAAUGACUUUUUAAAAUUAUGCAUACAUCAUUUCACAAGUGUCUUCUCUUGGGUAAUGCUUUAGACACAGGAAUCUAGCAUUAUUUGGUGCCCAAAAAUCUGAUUUUAUCAUUGCCUUCAGUUUAUUAUUGUUUAUCACUUCUGAACCCUUGGCUAUGAAAACCCUCGUGUCCAGGACUCAGUGUCACUUGAGGUGUUUGCAAAGGUCUUUGUUGCUAAAGACUUAAUUUAACUUAAAGUUACCUGCUAGUCUAGGUUUUCAUAUCCAUUUCCUACAUUUUAUUAUAUAUAAAUCUCUGUGUUAGGUUUUGAGGAUAGAAAAAGAAGACCCUUACUCUCAAGAAGUCUGCAGUCUAGUUGCAGAGACAGUUUAUAAGUAUGGUAAGACAAACUGCCACCCACUUGGUACAGACCAGUGCUUCAAGCAUUGUUCAAGCAUUGCUCUUGGACUUUGCACUUUUAAGAAUUAAAAUUUCACGAUGUUGAAUAAACAGGAUGAAUUUUAAGGAAGUAUUACUAAAUAGGUAGACAUAGAUAUAAUGCAUUUUAACUACGUCUUAGAGCUUUGUUCUUUAAGAGAGCAGAAUUUAUAUGUGUGGGCUCUCAAUAAGAAAUGUCUUGUUAAUCUUUAGUCAGAAUUUGGCAUUUUAUUUUUCCUUAAUAGAAAUGAUUCCUUUAUAUAUUAUGGAGGGCAACAGUGAAAAAAUUUCAGAAAGUUCCAGUCUAGUGAGAUAUAUUGAAACAAGACUUUUCCUAUUUUUGUAUUUUUUUCUUACCUCAUUAAAGACAACAUCUAGCUGUUAAAACUUACGUAGUAAUCAGCUGUGGCGCACGCUUGCAAUCCUGGUGACUCGGGAGGCUGAGGCAGGAGGAUCACAAGUUUAGUGCCAGCCUCAGCAACUUAACAAGGCCCUACCUAGCUUAGUGAGAUGCUGUUUCUAAAUAAAAAUAGCAAAAGUGUUGGGGAUGUGGCUCCAUGGUAAAGCACUCCUGGGUUUCAAUCCCCCAGUUCAAGUUUCUAUUGAGGGUAAAGUUUUAACUCUUUUCCCGCAAGAAAAUGACAUGUGAAGGGAAAUAACUUAUUACCAUUGUUCAUGCAAAUAUUUAAACCAUUGCCCUAAUUUUAAAAACUGCCUUUGUUGAAAAUUUUUUAAAAAUGCAAUUAAACUUUUUAAAUUCGCUACAGUGUACCUAUACUAAAGCAUCUUAAAAAUGCAAUGAAUUCUAAAAUAGGAUUUUUUUUUUAUAAUAAAUGAAUUGUCAUGAAUUCUCCAAAGCUAUUCUUGGUAUGUGAUUAUUAGCCAGGAAAUAACUCCGUUUUUUGUCUUAUUAGAAAGGUAAGCAUAUUUGGUUUUCAACUAAAUAUUAACAAAUUUUCCAGUAGUUUGGCAUGCCACUCAAAGAACUCAUGUGAGUAUGGUAAUUGAAUACUAGUAUUAUAAAUGAAUAAUAAACAUGGGAGUAUUUGUAAAAAAAAAAAGAAAAGAAAAAGUUCUAAGUAUGGUUCAGUGGACCAAUAACUUAUUUUAGGUAAGUG
RNA transcript from Sciurus carolinensis (gray squirrel), 4191 nucleotides. It is a transcript of the gene named protein-L-isoaspartate (D-aspartate) O-methyltransferase, with no coding region annotated. The transcript has 9 exons. The record is from RefSeq and is a predicted model, not a curated record. NCBI's taxonomy places the organism in Eukaryota, Metazoa, Chordata, Mammalia, Rodentia, Sciuridae.